This 432-nucleotide ribosomal RNA is filed under the name uncultured bacterium. RNAcentral describes it as "partial 16S ribosomal RNA". It matches the Rfam family "Bacterial small subunit ribosomal RNA", at positions 28 to 507 of the family's 1533-position model. The record is from RNAcentral.
GAUGAACGCUGGCGGUAUGCUUAACACAUGCAAGUCGAACGGUCACUUCGGUGAUAGUGGCGGACGGGUGAGUAACGCGUGAGAAUCUGUCUUCAGGUCGGGGACAACAGUUAGAAAUGACUGCUAAUACCGGAUGUGCCUUUGGGUGAAAGAUUUAUUGCCUGAAAAAGAGCUCGCGUCAGAUUGGCUAGUAGGUGGUGUAAGAGACUACCUAGGCUCCGAUCUGUAGCUGGUCUGAGAGGACGAUCAGCCACACUGGAACUGAGACACGGUCCAGACUCCUACGGGAGGCAGCAGUGGGGAAUUUUCCGCAAUGGGCGAAAGCCUGACGGAGCAAUACCGCGUGAGGGACGAAGGCUUUUGGGUCGUAAACCUCUUUUCUCAAGGAAGAUGAUGACGGUACUUGAGGAAUAAGCAUCGGCUAACUCUGUG